AGAGUUUGAUCAUGGCUCAGGAUGAACGCUAGCUACAGGCUUAACACAUGCAAGUCGAGGGGAACGACAUCGAAAGCUUGCUUUUGUAUGGGCGUCGACCGGCGCACGGGUGAGUAACGCGUAUCCAACCUGCCCCAUCACUUGGGGAUAACCUUGCGAAAGUAAGACUAAUACCCAAUGACGUCUCUAGAAGACAUCUGAAAGAGAUUAAAGAUUUAUCGGUGAUGGAUGGGGAUGCGUCUGAUUAGCUUGUUGGCGGGGUAACGGCCACCAAGGCGACGAUCGAGUAGGGGUUCUGAGAGGAAGGUCCCCCCANAUUGGAACUGAGACACGGUCCAAACUCCUACGGGAGGCA
RNAcentral lists this ribosomal RNA (355 nucleotides) under uncultured bacterium. Its description in RNAcentral is "bacterial SSU rRNA". It matches the Rfam family "Bacterial small subunit ribosomal RNA", at positions 8 to 350 of the family's 1533-position model. The record is from RNAcentral.